Molecule: transfer RNA, 70 nt
Filed under: Marmota monax (woodchuck)
Lineage: Eukaryota; Metazoa; Chordata; Mammalia; Rodentia; Sciuridae
Description: tRNA.Ala
Source: RNAcentral
GCUGUGUGGGUCAGUGGUAGAGCACUUGCCUUGCACACAUGAGGCACUGGUUUCAAUCCUCAGCACCACA